This 30-nucleotide non-coding RNA is filed under the name Mus musculus (house mouse). Lineage: Eukaryota; Metazoa; Chordata; Mammalia; Rodentia; Muridae. The record is from RNAcentral.
UCCCUAUAGUAACUUAAUCCCUGAGAUAAA